RNAcentral lists this ribosomal RNA (437 nucleotides) under uncultured bacterium. RNAcentral's name for it is "bacterial SSU rRNA". It matches the Rfam family "Bacterial small subunit ribosomal RNA", at positions 28 to 507 of the family's 1533-position model. The record is from RNAcentral.
GAUGAACGCUUAGCGGCAGGCCUAAUACAUGCAAGUCAAGGGGCCAGUAAUGGCACCGGCGACGGGUGCGUAACGCGUACACAACCUACCUGUCGGAGGGGGAUAACAUUGGGAAACUAUUGCUAAUACCCCAUAAGCUGAGGAGUUAAAGGUUUAAAUACCGCCGAUAGAGGGGCUUGCGUCUGAUUAGCUAGUUGGUGGGGGUAACGGCCUCCCAAGGCCACGAUCAGUAGCUGGUCUGAGAGGAUGAUCAGCCACACUGGGACUGAGACACGGCCCAGACUCCUACGGGAGGCAGCAGUGAGGAAUUUUUCGCAAUGGGCGCAAGCCUGACGAAGCAAUGCCGCGUGCAGGACGAAGGCCCGUGGGUCGUAAACUGCUUUUUCAGAGAAGAAUCAAUGACGGUAUCUGAAGAAUAAGCACCGGCUAACUCUGUG